This 136-nucleotide small nucleolar RNA is filed under the name Chlamydomonas reinhardtii. RNAcentral's name for it is "CrACA22a snoRNA". Lineage: Eukaryota; Viridiplantae; Chlorophyta; Chlorophyceae; Chlamydomonadales; Chlamydomonadaceae. The record is from RNAcentral.
GCACCGUUCGAAGCAGCUGCCGUGUUUCCCACUGUCGCGGCCUCUGUCAAAAGCGGUGCCACAUCAUACAAAGCCUCAUUAUAGGCACUGAGGGGCUCUCACCACCCCGCUGCGCUGUCGGAGGGGCUUGACAACA